RNAcentral lists this ribosomal RNA (800 nucleotides) under uncultured Planctomycetota bacterium. RNAcentral's name for it is "bacterial SSU rRNA". It matches the Rfam family "Bacterial small subunit ribosomal RNA", at positions 55 to 832 of the family's 1533-position model. The record is from RNAcentral. Lineage: Bacteria; Pseudomonadati; Planctomycetota.
AUGCAAGUCGCGCGCGAAAGUGGACUUCGGUCCGCGAGUAAAGCGGCGAAAGGGUGAGUAACGUAUAGUCAACCUACCCCUGACACCGGUAUAGCCUCUGGAAACGGAGGGUAAUCCCGGAUAGUCCCGACGGUUGGAAUCUUCUGUCGGGUAAAUGGUUGGGAUCUUCGGACCUUCCGGUCAGGGAGGGGACUAUACCCCAUCAGCUUGUUGGUGAGGUAAUGGCUCACCAAGGCAUUGACGGGUAGCCGGACUGAGAGGUUGACCGGUCACACUGGGACUGAGACACUGCCCAGACUCCUACGGGAGGCUGCAGUCGAGAAUCUUCCGCAAUGGGCGAAAGCCUGUCGGAGCGACGCCGCGUGGGGGAUGAAGGCCUUCGGGUUGUAAACCCCUGACACGGAUUAUGAAUGGCUGUGCGUUAAUAGCGUUCAGUUUGACAAAGGUCCGAGAGGAAGCCACGGCUAACUCUGUGCCAGCAGCCGCGGUAAUACAGAGGUGGCAAGCGUUGCUCGGAAUCAUUGGGCAUAAAGGGCGUCUAGGCGGACAGGUCAGUCGGUUGUGAAAUCCCUCGGCUUAACCGAGGAACUGCAGCCGAUACUGCUUGUCUUGAGGAUGAGAGGGGAGAGUGGAACUCCAGGUGGAGCGGUGAAAUGCGUCGAUAUCUGGAGGAACGCCGGCGGCGAAAGCGACUCUCUGGCUCAUUCCUGACGCUGAAGCGCGAAAGCUAGGGGAGCGAACGGGAUUAGAUACCCCGGUAGUCCUAGCCGUAAACGAUGAGCACUAAGUAGAGGGGUUUU